This 497-nucleotide ribosomal RNA is filed under the name uncultured bacterium. RNAcentral describes it as "partial 16S ribosomal RNA". It matches the Rfam family "Bacterial small subunit ribosomal RNA", at positions 28 to 507 of the family's 1533-position model. The record is from RNAcentral.
GAUGAACGCUGGCGGCGUGCCUAAUACAUGCAAGUCGAGCGAACAGACGAGGAGCUUGCUCCUCUGACGUUAGCGGCGGACGGGUGAGUAACACGUGGAUACCCUACCUAUAAGACUGGGAUAACUUCGGGAAACCGGCGCUAAUACCGGAUAAUAUAUUGAACCGCAUGGUUCAAUAGUGAAAGACGGUUUUGCUGUCACUUAUAGAUGGAUCCGCGCCGCAUUAGCUAGUUGGUAAGGUAACGGCUUACCAAGGCAACGAUGCGUAGCCGACCUGAGAGGGUGAUCGGCCACACUGGAACUGAGACACGGUCCAGACUCCUACGGGAGGCAGCAGUAGGGAAUCUUCCGCAAUGGGCGAAAGCCUGACGGAGCAACGCCGCGUGAGUGAUGAAGGUCUUCGGAUCGUAAAACUCUGUUAUUAGGGAAGAACAAAUGUGUAAGUAACUAUGCACGUCUUGACGGUACCUAAUCAGAAAGCCACGGCUAACUACGUG